Molecule: long non-coding RNA, 282 nt
Filed under: Carica papaya (papaya)
Lineage: Eukaryota; Viridiplantae; Streptophyta; Magnoliopsida; Brassicales; Caricaceae
Description: long non-coding RNA (CPAP_LNC009790)
Source: RNAcentral
AUUUGGCCAUGGGGGUGUUCAAAAUCAAAUUUCAAGGGAAUGAAAUUUUUUUUACCUUUUUUGGCAGUAAGAGGUGGCUCUAGCGCAGCGCGCAGGCGGCGAUCGGCUUCCUUCUCCACCAGCUGGUUCUUCUUCUCCGGCGGGGGGCUGGCGGCAGGGUUAGGGUUCGGUGUGAAGUGAAGUAUUUAUAUCUGUCUCCCUUUAAUCUUAGCCAUCCAUCGUGUUUAAUCUCAACUGUCUGAUCGCGUUUAAAGAGAAAAUGAAUCUGAAUCGUUCAUCACG